CAGAGUUGCAAAACUCCCCAAACCAUUGUGAACCUUACCGCUAAACAGUUGCUUCGGCGGGUGGCUGGCCCUUCCCCCGCACCAGGGGGGGGACGGCGCCCGGCCGCCGAGCCCGCCGGAGGAAACCAAACCAUUGCUUCCAGUAUCGGCCUCUCUGAGUUACCGUACUUUUAAUAAGUCA
This 181-nucleotide unclassified non-coding RNA is filed under the name uncultured Ascomycota. RNAcentral's name for it is "sequence contains ITS1". Lineage: Eukaryota; Fungi; Ascomycota. The record is from RNAcentral.